UAAAUUGCUCCGCCUGCUUUUGAGACGGUAGGUGUAACAUGAAUAAGUCGCUCCUUUUAAGAGUGUGGUCAGUUUUUUUGGAGCGCGGGGACGAGUGGAGAACGGAACAAGGCGGCGGGCCUCGGGGGGUGGCCGUGUAGCGUAGCGUACCGCCGCCGCCGUCACCGGAGCUUGCCCCGCACAAGGGCCCGCGGAACGUAGGUAGAUGUCGCUCCAUGUCUGCUCGGCCCAGUGCGUGUGCGACGGGGAGGGGAGAUAGGAACCAGGAGACGAGGGUGAAGUGAGAGCGGUUGCUCGGUCGGUCGUGACGGGCGACCUUCGUGGCUACUCUAUCGGUUCGACAAGAGGUCGGAUAUGCCGGUCGGCAGGCACGGCACGAUGGCAGCCGACUCGAUCAGUGCUGCUUCGGCGAGUUCUACCCGCAACACGAAGGACCACCGGUCCAAGGUACCCCUGUUAAUUAGCCGCAGAAACCAUUCACGCUCACUAGAGGUCAACAUGCAAGCAAAUCGUGAUCGACUCUGGCUGUCUUCAACUUUUAGCCACAAAUAUUAACUUAAUCUCUCGACACUGAGAGAAAAAGACUACUCUUUAGACUCCUAUUUAGAACAAUCUAAAACAACAAAACGCCACAAAGGACUUAUUAAGGAUAGCAACGAACAGUACCAACCACAACAGCUAGUCUAAUGGACGUCCUCGCACGGUUUCCGUCGUGUGGCACAUACCUAAUUCCCUCCGGGCUGAGCGCAGUACUUCCCGUUGACGUAGCUCGACUGACGACUAAAACACAUGGGGAUGUCUUUGGUCUACGUUCAAAGUUACACGAUACCAAGAAGAUUCAGUACAUUACCGUAGAUGGUGAACUGUUAUACACGACACUGAUUACUUCUACGUGUUCUGGUGUACGUAAGCAUGAUGAAAAUCUCUAAAGACCCCUGAAUGUUCACUCGUCGUAAAACGGAUAAAACCAGGACUAACCGUAGAAGGAUUACUGUGAUAAAAAAUGUUCCCAAUCGAAGAUAACCAAGGAGACAAGCGAAAAAAAGAAGGCUACUCUCCAAGACGUACAAGGGAGUCACUUCGGAAUACAAGAGGGGUUUCUUCGUAAUACAGGGUAUUAUUUAAUGGAUGCAAACUCACGUUCAUUAUAUGUUGUUAAACAUAAAAAAAGGAGGUUGCUCUUAUACACUAACCACAAGUCGAUAAAAAAUAUACGGCUGUUACAAAAAA
Molecule: ribosomal RNA, 1230 nt
Filed under: Triticum aestivum (bread wheat)
Lineage: Eukaryota; Viridiplantae; Streptophyta; Magnoliopsida; Poales; Poaceae
Description: partial small subunit ribosomal RNA
Source: RNAcentral